This 1342-nucleotide ribosomal RNA is filed under the name uncultured bacterium. RNAcentral's name for it is "bacterial SSU rRNA". It matches the Rfam family "Bacterial small subunit ribosomal RNA", at positions 28 to 1381 of the family's 1533-position model. The record is from RNAcentral.
GGCGAAACGCUGGCGGCGCGCUCUAACACAUGCAAGUCGAAACGAGAGAUGAGGAGCUUCGCUCUUCAAAUCGAGCGGCGAACGGGUGAGUAACGCGUGAGGAACCUGCCUCAAAGAGGGGGACAACAGUUGGAAACGACUGCUAAUACCGCAUAAGCCCACGGCUCGGCAUCGAGCAGAGGGAAAAGGAGCAAUCCGCUUUGAGAUGGCCUCGCGUCCGAUUAGCUAGUUGGUGAGGUAAUGGCCCACCAAGGCGACGAUCGGUAGCCGGACUGAGAGGUUGAACGGCCACAUUGGGACUGAGACACGGCCCAGACUCCUACGGGAGGCAGCAGUGGGGAAUAUUGCACAAUGGGGGAAACCCUGAUGCAGCGACGCCGCGUGGAGGAAGAAGGUCUUCGGAUUGUAAACUCCUGUUGUUGAGGAAGAUAAUGACGGUACUCAACAAGGAAGUGACGGCUAACUACGUGCCAGCAGCCGCGGUAAAACGUAGAUCACAAGCGUUGUCCGGAAUUACUGGGUGUAAAGGGAGCGCAGGCGGGAGAACAAGUUGGAAGUGAAAUCCAUGGGCUCAACCCAUGAACUGCUUUCAAAACUGUUUUUCUUGAGUAGUGCAGAGGUAGGCGGAAUUCCCGGUGUAGCGGUGGAAUGCGUAGAUAUCGGGAGGAACACCAGUGGCGAAGGCGGCCUACUGGGCACCAACUGACGCUGAGGCUCGAAAGUGUGGGUAGCAAACAGGAUUAGAUACCCUGGUAGUCCACACCGUAAACGAUGAUUACUAGGUGUUGGAGGAUUGACCCCUUCAGUGCCGCAGUUAACACAAUAAGUAAUCCACCUGGGGAGUACGACCGCAAGGUUGAAACUCAAAGGAAUUGACGGGGGCCCGCACAAGCAGUGGAGUAUGUGGUUUAAUUCGACGCAACGCGAAGAACCUUACCAAAUCUUGACAUCCCUCUGACCGGCGAGUAAUGUCGCCUUUCCUUCGGGACAGAGGAGACAGGUGGUGCAUGGUUGUCGUCAGCUCGUGUCGUGAGAUGUUGGGUUAAGUCCCGCAACGAGCGCAACCCUUAUCUUUAGUAGCCAGCAGUAAGAUGGGCACUCUGGAGAGACUGCCGGGGAUAACCCGGAGGAAGGUGGGGAUGACGUCAAAUCAUCAUGCCCCUUAUGACCAGGGCUACACACGUGCUACAAUGGCGUAAACAAAGAGAAGCGAAGUCGUGAGGCAGAGCGAAUCUCAAAAAUAACGUCUCAGUUCGGAUUGUAGUCUGCAACUCGACUACAUGAAGCUGGAAUCGCUAGUAAUCGCAGAUCAGAAUGCUGCGGUGAAUACGUUCCCGGGUCU